This 253-nucleotide ribosomal RNA is filed under the name uncultured bacterium. RNAcentral's name for it is "partial 16S ribosomal RNA". It matches the Rfam family "Bacterial small subunit ribosomal RNA", at positions 524 to 776 of the family's 1533-position model. The record is from RNAcentral.
UACAGAGGGGGCAAGCGUUGUUCGGAAUUACUGGGCGUAAAGGGCGCGUAGGCGGCCUGUUAAGUCGAACGUGAAAUCCCCGGGCCCAACCCGGGAACUGCGUCCGAUACUGGCAGGCUUGAAUCCGGGAGAGGGAUGCGGAAUUCCAGGUGUAGCGGUGGAAUGCGCAGAUAUCAGGAGGAACACCGAUGGCGAAGGCAGCUCGCUGGGACGGUACUGACGCUGAGGCGCGAAAGCGUGGGGAGCAAACAGG